RNAcentral lists this ribosomal RNA (924 nucleotides) under uncultured bacterium. RNAcentral's name for it is "bacterial SSU rRNA". It matches the Rfam family "Bacterial small subunit ribosomal RNA", at positions 1 to 917 of the family's 1533-position model. RNAcentral also lists the same sequence under 1 other name. The record is from RNAcentral.
UGGAUCCAGACUUUGAUCCUGGCUCAGGAUGAACGCUAGCUACAGGCUUAACACAUGCAAGUCGAGGGGCAGCGGGAUUGAAGCUUGCUUCAAUUGCCGGCGACCGGCGCACGGGUGAGUAACGCGUAUCCAACCUUCCGUACACUCAGGGAUAGCCUUUCGAAAGAAAGAUUAAUACCUGAUGGUAUGAUGAGAUUGCAUGAUAGCAUCAUUAAAGAUUUAUCGGUGUACGAUGGGGAUGCGUUCCAUUAGGUAGUAGGCGGGGUAACGGCCCACCUAGCCAACGAUGGAUAGGGGUUCUGAGAGGAAGGUCCCCCACAUUGGAACUGAGACACGGUCCAAACUCCUACGGGAGGCAGCAGUGAGGAAUAUUGGUCAAUGGACGAGAGUCUGAACCAGCCAAGUAGCGUGAAGGAUGAAGGUCCUACGGAUUGUAAACUUCUUUUAUAAGGGAGUAAACCCUCCCACGUGUGGGAGCUUGUAUGUACCUUAUGAAUAAGCAUCGGCUAACUCCGUGCCAGCAGCCGCGGUAAUACGGAGGAUGCGAGCGUUAUCCGGAUUUAUUGGGUUUAAAGGGAGCGCAGACGGGUCGUUAAGUCAGCUGUGAAAGUUUGGGGCUCAACCUUAAAAUUGCAGUUGAUACUGGCGUCCUUGAGUGCGGUUGAGGUGUGCGGAAUUCGUGGUGUAGCGGCGAAAUGCUUAGAUAUCACGAAGAACUCCGAUUGCGAAGGCAGCACACCAAUCCGUAACUGACGUUCAUGCUCGAAAGUGUGGGUAUCAAACAGGAUUAGAUACCCUGGUAGUCCACACGGUAAACGAUGGAUACUCGCUGUUGGCGAUAUACUGUCAGCGGCUUAGCGAAAGCGUUAAGUAUCCCACCUGGGGAGUACGCCGGCAACGGUGCAACUCAAAGGAAUUGACGGA